UCAUAUGACCAGAUCACUUUGAAUGUGCCCGAUUUUGUCAGGUCUUGGAAGCUACGCAUGGUGGGGGGUCUGGUUCGUACUUGGAUGGGUGACUACCGGGGCUUGUCAAGUGCUGUAGGUU
RNAcentral lists this ribosomal RNA (121 nucleotides) under Petromyzon marinus (sea lamprey). Lineage: Eukaryota; Metazoa; Chordata; Hyperoartia; Petromyzontiformes; Petromyzontidae. The record is from RNAcentral.